This 253-nucleotide ribosomal RNA is filed under the name uncultured bacterium. RNAcentral describes it as "partial 16S ribosomal RNA". It matches the Rfam family "Bacterial small subunit ribosomal RNA", at positions 524 to 776 of the family's 1533-position model. The record is from RNAcentral.
UACAGAGGUCUCAAGCGUUGUUCGGAUUUACUGGGCGUAAAGGGUGCGUAGGCGGCAAUUCAAGUCAGUUGUGAAAUCUCCGAGCUUAACUCGGAACGGUCAACUGAUACUGUUUUGCUAGAGUACAGAAGGGGCAAUCGGAAUUCUUGGUGUAGCGGUGAAAUGCGUAGAUAUCAAGAGGAACACCUGAGGUGAAGACGGGUUGCUGGGCUGAUACUGACGCUGAGUCACGAAAGCUAGGGUAGCAAACGGG